UACGUAGGGUGCAAGCGUUGUCCGGAAUUAUUGGGCGUAAAGAGCUCGUAGGCGGCUUGUCGCGUCGGCUGUGAAAACCUGGGGCUCAACCCCGGGCCUGCAGCCGAUACGGGCAAGCUAGAAUUCGGUAGGGGAGACUGGAAUUCCUGGUGUAGCGGUGAAAUGCGCAGAUAUCAGGAGGAACACCUGCGGUGUAGACGGCUUACUGGACCAUAACUGACGCUGAGGCACGAAAGCGUGGGUAGCAAACAGG
Molecule: ribosomal RNA, 253 nt
Filed under: uncultured bacterium
Lineage: Bacteria
Description: partial 16S ribosomal RNA
Rfam family: Bacterial small subunit ribosomal RNA
Source: RNAcentral